This is a long non-coding RNA of Lathyrus oleraceus (garden pea), 1068 nucleotides long. RefSeq lists it as uncharacterized. The transcript is spliced from 2 exons. Lineage: Eukaryota; Viridiplantae; Streptophyta; Magnoliopsida; Fabales; Fabaceae. The record is from RefSeq and is a predicted model, not a curated record.
UGAGGGUGCAUUGUUGGAAAAAGGGUGUUUCUAAGAAGCGGUGUGUAUGGGCUUGGGUGCCAAAGCCCAAAGAGAAAUGCAGCCAGACGUAGGGGGUGUAACAAGUAAUCUGGGAUGAUGCUGAUGAAAACAAACUUAGGCCCAAUGAAGUAAGCCCAUCAAAUAUGGCUGAAUUUGAGCACAUGGUGUAUCCAUCAGCUUCCAAGUCAACAGGCACGUGGGAUGAAAUUGAAUUCAAAAAACGCAUCAUACUAUAAUUCCAAACUCAGGGCAACAUUCAGCCACCACCACCGUGAGCCACCGUGCCGGGAAUCACCUCCGGCGGCGGUGGCCACCAUAAUCCAAAAUUGAACCCACCAUCUUGUUCGUCUCCUCCCCCUCUCCAUGAAUUCCUCAUUGAUUUCCCUUAGUUUUAUGUUUAGAACCCUAACUUCUUGGAUCUCCUCAAGAAGCCUAACAUCACAGACCUAAAUUAAACUUUACUCCCAAAGAAUCAGAGCCCAAGGGAUUAGGGCUCUGAUUCCCAAAUUUCUCUUCUACAUUGUAGCAACCAUAAUUGAAGAAGAAAAUUUUGAGCUUCGCCUGGUCGGAGACUUCGAAGCUGAUGACAACAAUUGUGCUCUGCUUCCAAGUACUGAUUCUAAUCUCUCUUUCUUCGCUACAAGGUGGUGUUGAUUGUUCAUGGCCUGUUGCUUGCAAAUGAUGCUGGGGUUGGCUUAUGCUUGGCAUAUGACAUCAAGAUGGCAUGAAACCAACAUGAAAAUCAAGGUGGUGACUUAAGGAAAUUAUCAUGACUUGCUUGCAAAUGAAGUUACAAGUGACAAUGGAAGCAUGAAGAAUUCACAUAGAAAUUAGGAUUGGACACUUAGUGGUUUAGUGAUGAAAAAUAACUUGAGUUGACUUUGGUCAAAAUUGACCAAAAAGUCAGCUGUCGAACAAAGUCAACAAUUGGUCAAAUAUGUAUUUUUUCUUGGUUUUCCUAUGUAAUGAACAUCUUAUGGAUGAAAAGAGAAUGGAACUUGUUAUGUGAAUGGUAUUAUUAUGAUGUAAAGGACUUUAGUUUGAAAA